This 71-nucleotide transfer RNA is filed under the name archaeon. RNAcentral describes it as "tRNA-Cys". It matches the Rfam family "tRNA". From Rfam's summary of the family: Transfer RNA (tRNA) molecules are approximately 80 nucleotides in length. Their secondary structure includes four short double-helical elements and three loops (D, anti-codon, and T loops). The record is from RNAcentral.
GCCGAGGUGACAGAGCGGCUAUGUGGCGGACUGCAGAUCCGCAUAAGUGGGUUCAACUCCCGCCCUCGGCU